GAUGAACGCUGACAGAAUGCUUAACACAUGCAAGUCAACUUGAACUUCGGUUUGGGUGGCGGACGGGUGAGUAACGCGUAAAGAACUUGCCUCACAGAUAGGGACAACAUUUGGAAACGAAUGCUAAUACCUGAUAUUAUGAUUAUAUGGCAUCGUAUAAUUAUGAAAGCUAUAUGCGCUGUGAGAGAGCUUUGCGUCCCAUUAGCUAGUUGGAGAGGUAACGGCUCACCAAGGCGAUGAUGGGUAGCCGGCCUGAGAGGGUGAUCGGCCACAAGGGGACGGAGACACGGCCCUUACUCCUACGGGAGGCAGCAGUGGGGAAGAUUGGACAAUGGACCAAGAGUCUGAUCCAGCAAUUCUGUGUGCACGAUGAAGUUUUUCGGAAUGUAAAGUGCUUUCAGUUGGGAAGAAAAAAAUGACGGUACCAACAGAAGAAGUGACGGCUAAAUACGUG
This 454-nucleotide ribosomal RNA is filed under the name uncultured bacterium. Its description in RNAcentral is "partial 16S ribosomal RNA". It matches the Rfam family "Bacterial small subunit ribosomal RNA", at positions 28 to 507 of the family's 1533-position model. The record is from RNAcentral.